This is a transfer RNA of Punctularia strigosozonata HHB-11173 SS5, 88 nucleotides long. It matches the Rfam family "tRNA". Rfam says of the family: Transfer RNA (tRNA) molecules are approximately 80 nucleotides in length. Their secondary structure includes four short double-helical elements and three loops (D, anti-codon, and T loops). NCBI's taxonomy places the organism in Eukaryota, Fungi, Basidiomycota, Agaricomycetes, Corticiales, Punctulariaceae. The record is from Rfam.
GCCCCCAUUGUCUAAUGGUUAUGACGUCAGACUUCUAACCUCAUGGGGGUUUAUCUGGAGGUUGCGGGUUCGAGUCCCGCUGGGGGUA